Molecule: transfer RNA, 73 nt
Filed under: Candidatus Buchananbacteria bacterium
Lineage: Bacteria; Candidatus Buchananiibacteriota
Description: tRNA-Arg
Rfam family: tRNA
About the family: Transfer RNA (tRNA) molecules are approximately 80 nucleotides in length. Their secondary structure includes four short double-helical elements and three loops (D, anti-codon, and T loops). Further hydrogen bonds mediate the characteristic L-shaped molecular structure. tRNAs have two regions of fundamental functional importance: the anti-codon, which is responsible for specific mRNA codon recognition, and the 3' end, to which the tRNAs corresponding amino acid is attached (by aminoacyl-tRNA synthetases). tRNAs cope with the degeneracy of the genetic code in two manners: having more than one tRNA (with a specific anti-codon) for a particular amino acid; and 'wobble' base-pairing, i.e. permitting non-standard base-pairing at the 3rd anti-codon position.
Source: RNAcentral
GCUUCCAUAGCUUAAAUGGAUAAAGCAAGUCCGUCCUAAGGACAAGAUCUUGGUUCAAUUCCAGGUGGAAGCA